UACGGAGGGUGCAAGCGUUAUCCGGAUUCACUGGGCGUAAAGCGCACGUAGGCGGAUUGUUAAGUCAGGGGUGAAAUCCUGGAGCUCAACUCCAGAACUGCCUUUGAUACUGGCGAUCUUGAGUCCGGGAGAGGUGAGUGGAACUGCGAGUGUAGAGGUGAAAUUCGUAGAUAUUCGCAAGAACACCAGUGGCGAAGGCGGCUCACUGGCCCGGUACUGACGCUGAGGUGCGAAAGCGUGGGGAGCAAACAGG
Molecule: ribosomal RNA, 253 nt
Filed under: uncultured bacterium
Lineage: Bacteria
Description: partial 16S ribosomal RNA
Rfam family: Bacterial small subunit ribosomal RNA
Source: RNAcentral